CCCUCAUCUCGGCAAAAAAAAAAGACAACCCACGGCCUCCUCUCGACCCCUCGCUCUCUCCGUCUCCCCAUGCCAGCCUCUCCCAACGCGGCAGCCACGACGACGCGCCUCCCCGGCAAUCUGUGCUCCCGCCGCCUCUUCCUUCCUCUCCCUCUCCCCCGAUGUGGCGGCAUGGAGGCCGGGCCCCAGCGGCACCACCUCACCGCAGGGCGUCCUUGCGGCGCGACGAUGUCCUCAGGCUACGGCGGAGCACCGCCCGUGUGACCUGUCGACGCUCAUCCCCGGCCACGGCAGGGCAUCAACAGGGCUUUCCGAGCAGGGCCCUCCGGUGGCUGGCGGCGCGGGUGCUCUCCGAGGCAGGCUCCUCGAAACCCUAGGUUUCCGUGCUCGCGGACACCACUGUCCAGUGCCGGGCUCGGGCACGGUAGUCUCGUCGAUGACCACGAGAGCUCCAGCAUGAGCAAGCCUCUGCUGCCGCCGUACUAGCGAUGGCCGUGGUUCUCACCUUCGAUUUUGGAACAGCGGCGUGGGCCAUGUACCCUACGCUCAGGUUUCCUCUCAUCUUUUUAUCUAGGACCCUCUAUUUGCCCUGUUCCUCACGUAAACCAGCUAUACUAGCCUCUCUUUUUAUUCAGUUUUUUGUGUGUCCUCUAUCCUUAAAUAUUUGCACUAAUUUAGGGAAACAUAAGAAUAGUGCUAGAGACCUAACUAUCAGCUCAAUAAGCGAGAUUGGGUUCACACGCGCUCAAUAGCAUCCUAAUUUGCUGUGAUGCUACAAUCUCGGUGGCUUCCACAUUUUUCUUCACUUACAGCUUCUCUAUAUGGCUAAGUUUUUUUUCUCAAAGCAGCUAUCUAUAUUAAUACAUAAAUAUCUGCACUGCAUUGGGGUCAUCCUGGAUGAGAAAUUUUAGAUAUCAUGUGACUAAGAAAGUAGUUUUUUAGUCCACGCAUGCCACAUGUUGUCUCCUACAGUGUUGUCCUGCAUAUAUGUUGAAUUUUUGACACCACAAUACUUUGCUCCUUAGGUAACUAAUUGUUAUCCAUAUUUAGUUCAUCAAACCUCCUCAAACGGUCAAACCAAUUGUUUAAAUUUGAGUUAUGCAAUUAGAUGCUUUCUGCUCAAAUUUUUGGUCUCAAAUAAAUUAUUGCUCCAUAAUUAUUUACCCAACCCUCUAGAAAGAUAGAGCCCUAAAACAAUUACUAAUUUUUGGCAAUGCCAUUUUUGGAUUAAUCUGUCUCAUCUCUCAAAUUUUGCUUACUACCUUGCAGGAAAGAAACUCCUUUACCUAGAAAGAGUGUGCACCGUACCUUCUCUUACAUUGUUAGUUGGAUUAAUCACUGCUGCCACAGCAUUUGGUUAAUCGGCCUAUGAUUUUUCUGUUGCACCUGUUCUUUCAGAUGUCUCUGUUCUGCUCUCUGAACUUCCCAGUAUGUCUGGGUGAAUUACCAAUACAUAAUCAGGCUAUUCAUGAAGCUCAAAAGCCAUAUCACCGACAGCCUCGAGGUCGCUGGUGUUGGAGCCUUCAAUUCAGUCGAAAGACUGAUUCCUUCCUUGUUCAAGCUGGAGAUCCAGAGGUACCGCCUUAGGGUUUUUCCAAUCACAGCAACUGUCAAAAUUGGUAUAGUACACUAUUUUUGGGUUGAUAAACCAUUUUGAAUAUGCACCAAUACUGGACCUCCUCUAAAGAAAAGAAGACUGUGUGGGUGCAUCGGCAAUUCAUAUAUUUUUUAACCAUCCACAAAGGAACCUUUUUUAUAGCACCAAAAGCCUCAUGAAGCUAUUAUGGUAGUUUUAGACCUCUGGUGGUUUCAAAGGGCCACCAGGUUUGACAACCUCAGGUAGGUUUCAAUCGUCAAUGAUGAACUUGGUGCUAAUAGAAAUUUAAGAAAACCUUCGUGUGCACCUCUACCUGUUUGCUUCUCGUGAAAUUGUUGGUUUAGAAUUUGAUAGUUCAUAUGUAAUUCAACUACUGAUAGUGAACUCAACUGUUUGUUGUUUUGUUUACAUAAUUGGCAUAACAGUGUGCAUCUUUGAUCACUAUGACAGCAGAGAAAAUUCAUUACAAAGUCUGAGAAGUGCUGUAUGACACGACAUGAAAAAAAACACGGAAUACUAUCGUACAUGAUAAAAAACAAAAGAAUAAAAAUGUUAAUCUUAGCUGAUUCUGCAGUCUAUUUUAUAGUCUAAUAUAGUUUCUAGGAUUAUAUAAUGCCAGUGUCUUCAUAACUUCAUUUUUUAUCUGCUUAAAUUUACCAAAGCUUGAUAUGAUUAUUUCAACGAUGCAAACAUAAGAAUAGUUCCAGUUUUGUGCACAACUCAAAAGUUGGCUAGGAUCUAGCUGUUGUCGCAAAAUUUUCAUCUCAGAGGUACUUCUCAAGGUCAUAAUUUAAAAAUGUAGAUGAGUUCCUGAGCUUCAGAGAUUGAAUCGACCCCAUACUAACAUCCAUAUAACAUCAUCAUGUCUUAUCAGAUGAUACCACGUACUGGGCAAGAAGCAACUCAACUGAAUACGAACCUGGCUGUAAAUCCGACCGCAGCAUCAACUACUAAUCGCUCUUCCACAAUUUCAGCAAGCUGUUACGACAUCCUUGUCUCUACUUUAUUUAGUGGACUACCGAGUUAAAAACCUCCUUGUAUUGUAUAAUAUUACUACCCAUCGUUAUCGCUAUACCAUCUACGAUAUAUGCCAUAUAAAUCUGACCUUCCAUGCA
Sorghum bicolor (sorghum) is the source of this 2712-nucleotide RNA transcript. RefSeq lists it as uncharacterized. The transcript has 4 exons. Lineage: Eukaryota; Viridiplantae; Streptophyta; Magnoliopsida; Poales; Poaceae. The record is from RefSeq and is a predicted model, not a curated record.